RNAcentral lists this ribosomal RNA (520 nucleotides) under uncultured bacterium. RNAcentral's name for it is "bacterial SSU rRNA". It matches the Rfam family "Bacterial small subunit ribosomal RNA", at positions 20 to 523 of the family's 1533-position model. The record is from RNAcentral.
UGGCUCAGAUUGAACGCUGGCGGCAUGCCUAACACAUGCAAGUCGAACGGCAGCAUGAGGUGUAGCAAAUACACCUUGAUGGCGAGUGGCGGACGGGUGAGGAAUGCAUCGGAAUCUGCCCAGUCGUGGGGGACAACGCAGGGAAACUUGCGCUAAUACCGCAUACGACCUUCGGGUGAAAGCAGGGGAUCUUCGGACCUUGCGCGAUUGGAUGAGCCGAUGCCGGAUUAGCUUGUUGGCGGGGUAACGGCCCACCAAGGCGACGAUCCGUAGCUGGUCUGAGAGGAUGAUCAGCCACAUUGGGACUGAGACACGGCCCAAACUCCUACGGGAGGCAGCAGUGGGGAAUAUUGGACAAUGGGGGCAACCCUGAUCCAGCAAUGCCGCGUGUGUGAAGAAGGCCUUCGGGUUGUAAAGCACUUUUUAUCGGGAACGAAACAUUGUCGGCCAAUACCCGGCAAGACUGACGGUACCCGAGGAAUAAGCACCGGGCUAACUCCGUGCCCAGCAGCCGCGGUAA